UAGAUAUCCCAUUGUCAUGUAAAUGUGCACCUGUUUAGACUUCACGUUAAGAAAACCGCAUGUCUACUUUUCAGUCACGAAGGAAACGCCCGAGGACUCCAACGCCUGGUCACUAUCUAGGGCUUAAGAACGCAAGGGGCGAUGGUUUCCGUGGCGACCGUGGUGGUGACCGUGGUCGGUAUCGUGGCCGUGAGGACUAUGGGCGCCUUGAGGACUAUGGGUACCAAAGAUCUCCUCCAAGGCGUUUGCCUUAUCGAGAUUAUUCUCCUAGGCGCUCGCCUUACGGGGGAAGGUCAAGAAGGGAACGAUCCAGGUCAUAUUCUCCUUAUGAAAGGA
This 336-nucleotide unclassified non-coding RNA is filed under the name Hevea brasiliensis (rubber tree). The record is from RNAcentral. Lineage: Eukaryota; Viridiplantae; Streptophyta; Magnoliopsida; Malpighiales; Euphorbiaceae.